Molecule: ribosomal RNA, 478 nt
Filed under: uncultured bacterium
Lineage: Bacteria
Description: bacterial SSU rRNA
Rfam family: Bacterial small subunit ribosomal RNA
Source: RNAcentral
AUUGAACGCUGGCGGCAUGCCUUACACAUGCAAGUCGAACGGCAGCACGGGGGCAACCCUGGUGGCGAGUGGCGGACGGGUGAGUAAUGCAUCGGAACGUGCCCUGAAGUGGGGGAUAACGCAGCGAAAGCUACGCUAAUACCGCAUAUUCUGUGAGCAGGAAAGCAGGGGAUCGCAAGACCUUGCGCUUUGGGAGCGGCCGAUGUCGGAUUAGCUAGUUGGUGGGGUAAAGGCCUACCAAGGCGACGAUCCGUAGCGGGUCUGAGAGGAUGAUCCGCCACACUGGGACUGAGACACGGCCCAGACUCCUACGGGAGGCAGCAGUGGGGAAUUUUGGACAAUGGGCGGAAGCCUGAUCCAGCCAUGCCGCGUGAGUGAAGAAGGCCUCCGGGUUGUAAAGCUCUUUCGGCGGGGAAGAAAUUGCUUGGGUUAAUACCCUGAGUAGAUGAGGUACCCGCAUAAGAAGCACCGGCUAACU